RNAcentral lists this ribosomal RNA (2906 nucleotides) under Aerococcus urinae. Its description in RNAcentral is "bacterial LSU rRNA". It matches the Rfam family "Bacterial large subunit ribosomal RNA". The record is from RNAcentral. Lineage: Bacteria; Bacillati; Bacillota; Bacilli; Lactobacillales; Aerococcaceae.
UGGUUAAGUGAAUAAGGGCGUACGGUGAAUGCCUUGGCACUAGGAGCCGAUGAAGGACGGGACGAACACCGAUAUGCUUCGGGGAGCUGUAAGUAAGCUUUGAUCCGGAGAUUUCCGAAUGGGGGAACCUCAUUGUUUUUAUCGACAAUGGUCCAUUCAGUGAACACAUAGCUGAGUGGAAGGUAGACGUGGUGAACUGAAACAUCUCAGUAGCCACAGGAAGAGAAAGAAAAAUCGAUUUCCCGAGUAGCGGCGAGCGAAACGGAAAGAGGCCAAACCAGCGUGCUUGCAUGCUGGGGUUGUAGGACUGAUGGACGGGAGUGAAUGAGCUAGUUGAACGCCAUGGAAAGGGCGAUCAGAGAGGGUGACAAUCCCGUAGGCGAAAGCUCAGCCACCUCAUUCAGUAUCCUGAGUACGGCGGUACACGUGAAAUUCCGUCGGAAUCCGCCAGGACCAUCUGGCAAGCCUAAAUACUCCCUAGUGACCGAUAGUGAACCAGUACCGUGAGGGAAAGGUGAAAAGCACCCCGGAAGGGGAGUGAAAGAGUACCUGAAACCGUAUGCCUACAAGCAGUCAGAGCCCGUUAAGGGGUGAUGGCGUACUUUUUGUAGAACGGACCGGCGAGUGACGAUAGCAAGCAAGGUUAAGCUGAAGAAGCGGAGCCACAGCGAAAGCGAGUCUGAAGAGGGCGUUGAGUUUGUUGUCGUCGACCCGAAACCAAGUGAUCUACUCAUGUCCAGGCUGAAGGUGUGGUAAAACACACUGGAGGGCCGAACCCACGUCUGUUGAAAAAGGCGGGGAUGAGGUGUGGGUAGCGGUGAAAUUCCAAUCGAACUUGGAGAUAGCUGGUUCUCUCCGAAAUAGCUUUAGGGCUAGCCUCGGAUGAUGACUAUUGGAGGUAGAGCACUGUUUGAUCGAGGGGUCCAUCCUGGAUUACCGACAUCUGAUAAACUCCGAAUGCCAAAUAGUUUAGUCCGGGAGUCAGACUGCGAGUGAUAAGAUCCGUAGUCGAAAGGGAAAGAGCCCAGACCACCAGCUAAGGUCCCAAAGUUUCAGUUAAGUGGAAAAGGAUGUGGGGUUGCUUAGACAACUAGGAUGUUGGCUUAGAAGCAGCCAUCAUUGAAAGAGUGCGUAAUAGCUCACUAGUCGAGUGACCCUGCGCCGAAAAUGUACCGGGGCUAAACUGAACACCGAAGCUGUGGAUCCAUAGGAUGGUAGGAGAGCGUUCUAUAGGCAGAGAAGCAUGAUCGUGAGGACAUGUGGAGCGUAUAGAAGUGAGAAUGCCGGUAUGAGUAGCGAAAGACGGGUGAGAAUCCCGUCCACCGAAUGACUAAGGUUUCCUGGGGAAGGCUCGUCCUCCCAGGGUUAGUCGGGACCUAAGCCGAGACCGAAAGGGAUAGGCGAUGGACAACAGGUUGAGAUUCCUGUACUUGUUUGAUUUGUUUGAGCGAUGGAAGGACACAGAAGGCUAAGCGGAGCGCGGAGAUGGAAAAACGCGUCCAAGCAAUAAGUGAGAAGGUGAGUGAAAGGCUUGCCUCAGACUUCAUGAGUUGUGACGGGGAGGGAAAUUUAGUACCGAAGCCGCCGACGUCACGCUGUCAAGAAAAGUUUCUAGUGAGAAUCAAACAACCCGUACCGCAAACCGACACAGGUAGUCGAGUGGAGAACACUAAGGUGAGCGAGCGAACUCUCGUUAAGGAACUCGGCAAAAUGACCCCGUAACUUCGGGAGAAGGGGUGCUGACCGCAAGGUCAGCCGCAGUGAAUAGGCCCAAGCGACUGUUUAUCAAAAACAUAGGUCUCUGCCAAAUCGAAAGAUGAUGUAUAGAGGCUGACGCCUGCCCGGUGCUGGAAGGUUAAGAGGAAGGGUUAGCGUAAGCGAAGCUCUGAAUUGAAGCCCCAGUAAACGGCGGCCGUAACUAUAACGGUCCUAAGGUAGCGAAAUUCCUUGUCAGGUAAGUUCUGACCCGCACGAAAGGCGUAACGAUUUGGGCACUGUCUCAACGAGAGGCUCGGUGAAAUUGUAGUACCAGUGAAGAUGCUGGUUACCCGCGACAGGACGGAAAGACCCCAUGGAGCUUUACUGUAGGUUGAUAUUGAAUGUUUGUGCCACAUGUACAGGAUAGGUAGGAGCCAUCGAAGUCGGGACGCUAGUCUCGAUGGAGGCACUGGUGGGAUACUACCCUUGUGGGAUGACCAUUCUAACCCGCGACCAUUAGCUGGUCGGGAGACAGUGUCAGUCAGGCAGUUUGACUGGGGCGGUCGCCUCCUAAAGUGUAACGGAGGCGCCCAAAGGUUCCCUCAGAAUGGUUGGAAAUCAUUCGCAGAGUGUAAAGGCAGAAGGGAGCUUGACUGCGAGACCUACAAGUCGAGCAGGGACGAAAGUCGGGCUUAGUGAUCCGGUGGUUCCGCAUGGAAGGGCCAUCGCUCAACGGAUAAAAGCUACCCUGGGGAUAACAGGCUUAUCUCCCCCAAGAGUUCACAUCGACGGGGAGGUUUGGCACCUCGAUGUCGGCUCAUCGCAUCCUGGGGCUGAAGUCGGUCCCAAGGGUUGGGCUGUUCGCCCAUUAAAGCGGUACGCGAGCUGGGUUCAGAACGUCGUGAGACAGUUCGGUCCCUAUCCGUCGCGGGCGUUGGAAAUUUGAGAGGAGCUGUCCUUAGUACGAGAGGACCGGGAUGGACACACCGCUGGUGUACCAGUUGUUCCACCAGGAGCAUGGCUGGGUAGCUAUGUGUGGACGGGAUAAGCGCUGAAAGCAUCUAAGCGUGAAGCCCCCCUCAAGAUGAGAUUUCCCAUACUUUUAAAGUAGUAAGACCCCUGAAAGACGAUCAGGUUGAUAGGUUUGGAGUGGAAGCUUAGCAAUAAGUGGAGCGGACAAAUACUAAUCGGUCGAGGACUUAUCCAAA